Molecule: ribosomal RNA, 445 nt
Filed under: uncultured bacterium
Lineage: Bacteria
Description: partial 16S ribosomal RNA
Rfam family: Bacterial small subunit ribosomal RNA
Source: RNAcentral
GUGAGGAAUAUUGCGCAAUGGAGGCAACUCUGACGCAGCCAUGCCGCGUGCAGGAAGAAGGCGCUACGCGUUGUAAACUGCUUUUAACCGGGAAGAAACCCCAGGACGUGUCCUGGGUUGACGGUACCGGAGGAAUAAGCACCGGCUAACUUCGUGCCAGCAGCCGCGGUAAUACGAAGGGUGCAAGCGUUAUCCGGAUUCAUUGGGUUUAAAGGGUGCGUAGGCGGAGCGUUAAGUCAGUGGUGAAAUCCUGCAGCUUAACUGUAGACUUGCCAUUGAUACUGGCGCUCUUGAGUGCGCUUGAAGUGGGCGGAAUGUGCCGUGUAGCGGUGAAAUGCUUAGAUAUGGCACAGAACACCAAUUGCGAAGGCAGCUCACUAAGGCGAUACUGACGCUGAGGCACGAAAGCGUGGGGAUCAAACAGGAUUAGAUACCCUGGUAGUCC